This 630-nucleotide ribosomal RNA is filed under the name uncultured Verrucomicrobiota bacterium. RNAcentral describes it as "bacterial SSU rRNA". It matches the Rfam family "Bacterial small subunit ribosomal RNA", at positions 37 to 645 of the family's 1533-position model. Lineage: Bacteria; Pseudomonadati; Verrucomicrobiota. The record is from RNAcentral.
UGGCGGCGUGGUUAAGACAUGCAAGUCGAACGGGAUUUUCCGUUGUAGCAAUACGAUGGAAAGUCUAGUGGCGAACGGGUGCUUAACACGUGGGCAACCUGCCAUGAAGUGGGGGAUAGCUCGCCGAAAGGCGAAUUAAUACCGCAUGUGAUUAGAGAGGACAUCCUUUCGAAAUUAAAGUCGGGGCAACCUGACGCUUCUUGUGGGGCCCGCGGCCUAUCAGCUAGUUGGUGAGGUAACGGCUCACCAAGGCUUUGACGGGUAGCUGGUCUGAGGGGACGACCAGCCACACUGGGACUGAGACACGGCCCAGACACCUACGGGUGGCAGCAGUCGAGAAUUUUUGACAAUGGGGGAAACCCUGAUCGAGCGACGCCGCGUGGAGGAUGAAGGUCUUCGGAUUGUAAACUCCUGUUAUUGGGGAACAAUGCACAGAUAUUAACUGUAUUUGUGUUGAUAGUACCCGAAGAGGAAGAGACGGCUAACUCUGUGCCAGCAGCCGCGGUAAUACAGAGGUCUCAAGCGUUGUUCGGAUUCAUUGGGCGUAAAGGGUGCGUAGGCGGCGCGGUAAGUCGGGUGUGAAAUCUCGGAGCUUAACUCCGAAACUGCAUUCGAUACUGCCGUGCUUGA